This 479-nucleotide long non-coding RNA is filed under the name Helianthus annuus (common sunflower). Lineage: Eukaryota; Viridiplantae; Streptophyta; Magnoliopsida; Asterales; Asteraceae. The record is from RNAcentral.
UCUUCUCCAAUACGGCAACUCCGAUUAGGGUUUCAUCUUCUUCUACACGUUUCUAGAUUUGGGUUCUAGGGUUUGUUCGCGAACACACAAACCCCAAAAUAACUCAACAAAUCGCCCGUUCUUCGAUCAAGUUCUUCGCUAGCAACUAUCAUCAUCACAUCAAUAAGGUAUUAUUUCUCUUUAAUUUCAUUCUCUAGGGUUCUCAUUCGCCUUUUGAAUCGCCUUAAAUAGGUUAGACGUGUUCUAUAUUUUCAAGAACCUAUUUAUCUUAUUUUGUUAAUUGAUUCGGUAAUUUUUCAGCAAUUAGAGUGAACUUUGUAACAUAGAUCAGGAUUCAGGGUAUAGAUUGUUGCGAGUUGUAGCUUAUAACCUUUUAUUUUGGAUACUAUUGGUACACAAAGGUGUUUGUAGUGUUAAAAGGAAUGAAAUUGUGGAUGUUGUCAAUUUUAAACACAAGAAACAGCUGCUUUUGGAUAUAA